RNAcentral lists this ribosomal RNA (166 nucleotides) under uncultured Pelotomaculum sp. Its description in RNAcentral is "partial 16S ribosomal RNA". It matches the Rfam family "Bacterial small subunit ribosomal RNA", at positions 67 to 222 of the family's 1533-position model. Lineage: Bacteria; Bacillati; Bacillota; Clostridia; Eubacteriales; Desulfotomaculaceae. The record is from RNAcentral.
CGGAGGUUAUUUUGAAACUUAGUGAUAGAUAACCUUAGUGGCGGACGGGUGAGUAACGCGUGGAUAACCUGCCUACAUGCCUGGGACAACACCGGGAAACUGGUGCUAAUACCGGAUACGCUCUUGUAUGCACAUGCAUAUAAGAGGAAAGGAGCAAUCCGCAUAU